UAAGGAAUAUUGGUCAAUGGACGCAAGUCUGAACCAGCCAUGCCGCGUGAAGGAUGAAGGUCCUCUGGAUUGUAAACUUCUUUUAUCUGGGACGAAAACGGGAUUUUUAUCUCAAUUGACGGUACCAGAGGAAUAAGCACCGGCUAACUCCGUGCCAGCAGCCGCGGUAAUACGGAGGGUGCGAGCGUUAUCCGGAUUUACUGGGUUUAAAGGGUGCGUAGGUGGGCUUAUAAGUCAGUGGUGAAAUCUCCGAGCUUAACUUGGAAACUGCCGUUGAUACUAUAGGUCGUGAAUUAUCUGGGGGUAAGCGGAAUAUGUCAUGUAGCGGUGAAAUGCUGAGAUAUGACAUAGAACACCAAUUGCGAAGGCAGCUUACUACAUAUAAAUUGACGCUGAGGCACGAAAGCGUGGGGAUCAAACA
Molecule: ribosomal RNA, 421 nt
Filed under: uncultured bacterium
Lineage: Bacteria
Description: bacterial SSU rRNA
Rfam family: Bacterial small subunit ribosomal RNA
Source: RNAcentral